AUGCAGCACAAAGAAGCAAGAAGCCGAUAGAAGAAUCAGUGGAGAAACGAAGCAACAGCAGAAGCAGAAGUUUGGUUCUUUUCAUCAAUUCCAAGGCUUAGUAUGAGCACAGCUGAAAAGAGGCAAUCUAAUGGAGAAGCUGAAGAAGAUGACGAUGAUGAUGAUGGAGAUGGUCAUGGACUUGAUGCGUGGGAGAGGACUUACACUGAUGAGAGAUCAUGGGAAGCUCUUCAAGAGGAUGAAUCAGGACUGCUUCGUCCUAUAGACAAUAAGAUCAUACACCAUGCUCAGUAUCGCCGCCGCCUUCGUUCCCUUUCUACCACUGCUGCUCGCAUUCAGAAGGGCCUCAUUCGCUUUCUUUACAUUGUUGUCGAUCUCUCCAGGGUAUUUUUCGUUCUUUUAAAUCUUUCUUUUUUUGAGACUCUCUUGAAUUUAAGAAUUUAAUUCACUUUCUGGGUACCACCCCAUGCUUGAUUCUAAUCUAUCUUGUGUGAUUGGAGAGAAAGAAAGAGAUUUAGGACUGGUAGAAUUUGUAUUUGACAGCCAGAAAUCGUGAUAUAUCUUGGGUAUGACGCAAUGGCCAAUAGGGACAUGGAUAAUUUGUCAUGUCUAUGUGAUUGAAGACUAGGGUUUACCUUUCUUUCAUUACGCCCAUCAUGACUUUUUUAAACAACUUUCUGAGUUCCUUAACUCUGCAAAAAUCUCUUAAUAUGAAAUGAUUGGAAGUUUCAGCAAAAUGUAUGUAGUUUUCUGCAGAGAAAUGGUACUAAUUUUUGCGAUAUAUAAGUGAUUCCACACAUAAGCAUGAGGCUUAUUUUCAAGUAAGUUGUGACUUGAGAAAUGCUGAAGCAUGAAAGUCAUGUCCAACAUAAAAGAUAAGUGUGAGAGCACUGGAAAGGUUGGUUGUGAGAGGGAACUAUCUUCAAUUUCUAUUAAAAGUAAUAAAUUCAGAGGGAGGUUCAAAAUUUAUGGCAACUUCUGUAAUUGAGCAUUGUUUCCUCUUUUUUCUUCAUUAUUUUCAUCGGUGAAUGCAGGCAGCAUCAGAGAUGGAUUUUCGACCAAGUCGAAUGGUUGUGAUUGUAAAACAUGUUGAGGCUUUUGUUAGGGAAUUUUUUGAUCGGAAUCCACUUAGCCAGAUUGGUUUGGUGACUAUAAAAGAUGGGGUUGCCCAUUCCUUAACAGAGCUUGGUGGGAGUCCAGAGUCCCACAUUAAGGCUUUGAUGGGGAAGAUGGAAUGCUCAGGCGAUUCAUCACUACAGAAUGCCCUCAAUCUUGUCCAGGGAUAUCUUGAUCAAAUUCCAUCAUAUGGUCAUCGUGAAGUUCUGAUCUUAUGUUCAGCUCUCAGCACCUGUGAUCCAGGAGAUAUAAUGGAGACCAUAAAGCAAUGCAAGAAAUCUAAAAUUAGGUGCUCGGUUAUUGGUCUUUCUGCAGAAAUGUUUAUAUGCAAGCAUCUCUGUCAAGAAACUGGUGGAAUAUACUCCGUUGCAAUGGAUGAGGUCCACUUUAAAGAGUUAAUGUUAGAGCAUGCACCGCCACCCCCAGCAAUAGCAGAAUUUGCAAUUGCUAAUUUAAUCAAGAUGGGUUUCCCACAAAGGGUGGCAGAGGGCUCUAUCUCAAUUUGUUCUUGUCAUAAAGAAGCUAAAGUUGGUGAUGGAUACAUUUGUCCGAGAUGCAAGGCGCGUGUAUGUGAGCUUCCUACUGAAUGCCGUAUUUGUGGAUUGACACUCGUUUCUUCACCUCAUUUGGCAAGGUCAUAUCAUCAUCUCUUUCCCAUUGUGCCAUUUGAUGAGGUGUCUCCAAGGCAAAAUGUACUACAUCACAGACCACCGAAAACUUGUUUUGGCUGCCAACAGAGCCUCCUCAACCCUGGCAACAAGCCCAGCCUUUGUGUUGCUUGUCCAAAAUGCAAACAAUACUUCUGCAUUGAUUGUGACAUUUAUAUACAUGAGAGCUUGCAUAACUGCCCAGGCUGUGACAGCAUUAGACAUUCAUAGCCAGUCACCACUAAUGAAGAAUGAGGAAUAUUGCUGCAGAUUGUUAUGUUUUCCUGCUGCCAUACGGCUAUGAUAUUCUCCUAGUAAUGAACCUUAAAGCAAAGUCUCAGAGCAAGUUCAGACAAUGGAAAGAGCAGCUUAUUCAACAUUCCCAAGUUUUCCCAUUUUUUCUCUUAAAUAUGAUAGUAUGGAUCAAGUGAAAAUUCAGUUCCAAUAUUUAUGAUUGCUUUGCUGCAUUCCCUAAUUUCAUAUUGACCAGGAUCUAAUUCUUUGAAUAUUAGUAGCUACAAACAUCAGAAUGGAGACUCUUUGGGUAGCGUUAAUUUUGAAAUUUAUAUUAUUAUUGUUGUAUGAAUUUGAAAAAAU
This 2360-nucleotide unclassified non-coding RNA is filed under the name Hevea brasiliensis (rubber tree). Lineage: Eukaryota; Viridiplantae; Streptophyta; Magnoliopsida; Malpighiales; Euphorbiaceae. The record is from RNAcentral.